RNAcentral lists this ribosomal RNA (123 nucleotides) under Triticum aestivum (bread wheat). Its description in RNAcentral is "partial small subunit ribosomal RNA". The record is from RNAcentral. Lineage: Eukaryota; Viridiplantae; Streptophyta; Magnoliopsida; Poales; Poaceae.
CAUAGUUCACCAGCAAUCUCUUCAAAACAUAUUGUGCUAACCUUGGGACGCAGAUAUGCUACACUUCGGUGGCACACCCCCGGAGUAACGGCCAAGCCGAGCGCACCAACGCAGAGAUCCUGA